UUUGACUGGUAUAAAAUUUGCAUGAAUUUGUGAGAAGAAUAAUUUUAUCGAUGAAGUUAAAAUGAUUACACCUCUUACUAAUAGUACAUUUGAAAAUUCUCAGAGUUUCACAUCUAAAGAAUAUGAGUAUCGUCGAGGGUUUCCAGCUUAUACGCUCCGGUUCAAAUGGCUUUCAUGACCCGAUAUAGUCCUUCUCAGUUAGAGCCCAAUUUGCCCUAUUCUAUGGGUUUGAACACUUC
Molecule: long non-coding RNA, 239 nt
Filed under: Elaeis guineensis (African oil palm)
Lineage: Eukaryota; Viridiplantae; Streptophyta; Magnoliopsida; Arecales; Arecaceae
Description: long non-coding RNA (EGUI_LNC029144)
Source: RNAcentral